GUUGUAUGGUUAAGUGACUAAGCGUACACGGUGGAUGCCUUGGCAGUCAGAGGCGAUGAAAGACGUAGUAACUUGCGAUAAGCCCAGAUUAGGUAGUAACAACCAUUUGAGUCUGGGAUUUCUGAAUGGGGAAACCCACGUGCAUAAGCACGUAUCCUUACCUGAAUACAUAGGGUAAGGAGGCGAACCGGGGGAACUGAAACAUCUAAGUACCCCGAGGAAAAGAAAUCAACCGAGAUUCCGAAAGUAGCGGCGAGCGAAAUUGGACUAGCCCUUAAGCUUUACACGCGUUAGACGAACGGUCUGGAAAGUCCGACGAUACAGGGUGAUAGUCCCGUAGUUGACGACGUGUGUUCAGUGAAAUCGAGUAGGGCGGGACACGUGAUAUCCUGUCUGAAUAUGGGGGGACCAUCCUCCAAGGCUAAAUACUACUGACUGACCGAUAGUGAACCAGUACCGUGAGGGAAAGGCGAAAAGAACCCCUGUGAGGGGAGUGAAAUAGAACCUGAAACCGUGUACGUACAAGCAGUAGGAGCAGGCUUUGUCCUGUGACUGCGUACCUUUUGUAUAAUGGGUCAGCGACUUAUAUUCAGUGGCAAGGUUAACCAUCUAGGGGAGCCGUAGGGAAACCGAGUCUUAACUGGGCGUUCAGUCUCUGGAUAUAGACCCGAAACCAGGUGAUCUAGCCAUGGGCAGGUUGAAGGUUGAGUAACAUCAACUGGAGGACCGAACCGACUAAUGUUGAAAAAUUAGCGGAUGACUUGUGGCUAGGGGUGAAAGGCCAAUCAAACCUGGAGAUAGCUGGUUCUCCCCGAAAGCUAUUUAGGUAGCGCCUCGGACGAAUACUACUGGGGGUAGAGCACUGUUAAGGCUAGGGGGUCAUCCCGACUUACCAACCCUUUGCAAACUCCGAAUACCAGUAAGUACUAUCCGGGAGACACACGGCGGGUGCUAACGUCCGUCGUGGAGAGGGAAACAACCCAGACCGCCAGCUAAGGUCCCAAAUUACUACUAAGUGGGAAACGAUGUGGGAAGGCUCAGACAGCCAGGAUGUUGGCUUAGAAGCAGCCAUCAUUUAAAGAAAGCGUAAUAGCUCACUGGUCGAGUCGGCCUGCGCGGAAGAUGUAACGGGGCUAAGUAGUAAACCGAAGCUGCGGCAAUGUGCUUUUGCACAUUGGGUAGGGGAGCGUUCUGUAAGCGGUUGAAGGUGUGUGGUAACGCAUGCUGGACGUAUCAGAAGUGCGAAUGCUGACAUGAGUAACGAUAAAGGGGGUGAAAAACCUCCUCGCCGGAAGACCAAGGGUUCCUGUCCAACGUUAAUCGGGGCAGGGUAAGUCGACCCCUAAGGCGAGGCCGAAAGGCGUAGUCGAUGGGAAACGGGUUAAUAUUCCCGUACUUCUUACAAUUGCGAUGGGGGGACGGAGAAGGCUAGGUGGGCCUGGCGACGGUUGUCCAGGUUCAAGUGCGUAGGCUUAAGAGUUAGGUAAAUCCGGCUCUUUUUAAGGCUAAGACACGACGUCGAGCACCUACGGGUGUGAAGUCAUUGAUGCCAUGCUUCCAGGAAAAGCCUCUAAGCUUCAGAUUGUAAGGAAUCGUACCCCAAACCGACACAGGUGGUCGGGUAGAGAAUACCAAGGCGCUUGAGAGAACUCGGGUGAAGGAACUAGGCAAAAUGGUACCGUAACUUCGGGAGAAGGUACGCUCUUGACGGUGAAGUCCCUCGCGGAUGGAGCUAUUGAGAGUCGCAGAUACCAGGUGGCUGCAACUGUUUAUUAAAAACACAGCACUGUGCAAAAUCGUAAGAUGACGUAUACGGUGUGACGCCUGCCCGGUGCCGGAAGGUUAAUUGAUGGGGUUAGACUUCGGUCGAAGCUCUUGAUCGAAGCCCCGGUAAACGGCGGCCGUAACUAUAACGGUCCUAAGGUAGCGAAAUUCCUUGUCGGGUAAGUUCCGACCUGCACGAAUGGCGUAAUGAUGGCCACGCUGUCUCCACCCGAGACUCAGUGAAAUUGAAAUCGCUGUGAAGAUGCAGUGUACCCGCGGCUAGACGGAAAGACCCCGUGAACCUUUACUACAGCUUGGCACUGAACAUUGACCCUACAUGUGUAGGAUAGGUGGGAGGCUUUGAAGCACGUACGCCAGUAUGUGUGGAGCCGUCCUUGAAAUACCACCCUUGUAGUGUUGAUGUUCUAACGUCGACCCCUUAUCGGGGUUGCGGACAGUGCCUGGUGGGUAGUUUGACUGGGGCGGUCUCCUCCCAAAGAGUAACGGAGGAGCACGAAGGUGGGCUAAUCACGGUUGGACAUCGUGAGGUUAGUGCAAUGGCAUAAGCCCGCUUGACUGCGAGAAUGACAAUUCGAGCAGGUGCGAAAGCAGGUCAUAGUGAUCCGGUGGUUCUGAAUGGAAGGGCCAUCGCUCAACGGAUAAAAGGUACUCCGGGGAUAACAGGCUGAUACCGCCCAAGAGUUCAUAUCGACGGCGGUGUUUGGCACCUCGAUGUCGGCUCAUCACAUCCUGGGGCUGAAGUCGGUCCCAAGGGUAUGGCUGUUCGCCAUUUAAAGUGGUACGCGAGCUGGGUUUAGAACGUCGUGAGACAGUUCGGUCCCUAUCUGCCGUGGGCGUUGGAAGAUUGAAGGGGGCUGCUCCUAGUACGAGAGGACCGGAGUGGACGAACCUCUGGUGUUCGGGUUGUGUCGCCAGACGCAUUGCCCGGUAGCUAAGUUCGGAAUCGAUAACCGCUGAAAGCAUCUAAGCGGGAAGCGAGCCCUGAGAUGAGUCUUCCCUGAUACUUUAAGUAUCCUAAAGGGUUGUCGGAGACUACGACGUUGAUAGGUCAGGUGUGUAAGUGCUGUGAGGCAUUGAGCUAACUGAUACUAAUUGCCCGUGAGGCUUAACCAUACAACACCCAAGGGGUUU
Molecule: ribosomal RNA, 2916 nt
Filed under: Vibrio parahaemolyticus
Lineage: Bacteria; Pseudomonadati; Pseudomonadota; Gammaproteobacteria; Vibrionales; Vibrionaceae
Description: 23S ribosomal RNA
Rfam family: Bacterial large subunit ribosomal RNA
Source: RNAcentral